UGGGGGAAUAUUGCACAAUGGGCGAAAGCCUGAUGCAGCAACGCCGCGUGAGUGAUGAAGGCCUUCGGGUUGUAAAGCUCUGUCUUUUGGGACGAUAAUGACGGUACCAAAGGAGGAAGCCACGGCUAACUACGUGCCAGCAGCCGCGGUAAUACGUAGGUGGCAAGCGUUGUCCGGAUUUACUGGGCGUAAAGGAUGCGUAGGCGGAUUUUAAGUGAGAUGUGAAAUACCCGGGCUUAACUUGGGUGCUGCAUUUCAAACUGGGAAUCUAGAGUGCGGGAGAGGAGAAUGGAAUUCCAGUGUAGCGGUGAAAUGCGUAGAGAUUAGGAAGAACACCAGUGGCGAAAGGCGAUUCUCUGGACCGUAACUGACGCUGAGGCAUGAAAGCGUGGGUAGCAAACAGGAUUAGAUACCCUGGUAGUCCAC
This 426-nucleotide ribosomal RNA is filed under the name uncultured bacterium. RNAcentral's name for it is "partial 16S ribosomal RNA". It matches the Rfam family "Bacterial small subunit ribosomal RNA", at positions 354 to 798 of the family's 1533-position model. The record is from RNAcentral.